AAAAGGGGGAGGAGGAGGAGGAGGAGAGGAGAAAGGUGAAGUGGGUAGAGAAACCCGCGUCAGUUGUUUCUGGGACGUGGACAGGAAAGGGCACAUUUGUGUGAGCGGCUCGCGUGCACUCUCCAGGUAUGCAGGUGGAGGGGUGAGCAGGUGAGCCGCACACCUGCUCCACUAUUUAGCCAUUACUACUGCUAUUGCUGCUGCUGCUGCUGCUGCUGGGGAUGGUGAUGCUGCUGCUGCUGCUGCUACUACUACUACUACUACUACUACUACUACUACUACUACUACUAUUUAACUGACAAGCUUCCUUCAUAACAGUGCAGGAUUCUCAGGUCCUGCGACUCCUGGGGAAGUCCUGCCAGCCUUGCAUGUAUCCCCACAUCAAUCAAAGGAGGGAAAAAAUUUGUCAGUGCUGAGGAGGAAGGAAGAAGCUGAGGAGGAAGGAAGAAAAGACCGCAUUCUCAUGUCAUCCCAUUGACUUUGUAUUCAGGUUUAUUCUAAGCAACAAGUGUGUAAGACUCGGUGUUGGCUGGCUGGUGCUGGUACAUGAGCUGCUGUGUGUUCCAAGUCCUCCGGACUCCUCAACUAUGAUCAUUAUUUUUUAUUUAUUUAUU
This is a long non-coding RNA of Scylla paramamosain (green mud crab), 614 nucleotides long. RefSeq lists it as uncharacterized. NCBI's taxonomy places the organism in Eukaryota, Metazoa, Arthropoda, Malacostraca, Decapoda, Portunidae. The transcript has 4 exons. The record is from RefSeq and is a predicted model, not a curated record.